RNAcentral lists this ribosomal RNA (253 nucleotides) under uncultured bacterium. RNAcentral describes it as "partial 16S ribosomal RNA". It matches the Rfam family "Bacterial small subunit ribosomal RNA", at positions 524 to 776 of the family's 1533-position model. The record is from RNAcentral.
UACGAGGGGUCCUAGCGUUGUUCGGAAUCAUUGGGCGUAAAGGGUGUGUAGGUGGCGCCGUAAGUCGGGUGUGAAAUCUCGGGGCUUAACUCCGAAACUGCAUUCGAUACUGCGGUGCUUGAGGACUGGAGAGGAGACUGGAAUUCAUGGUGUAGCAGUGAAAUGCGUAGAGAUCAUGAGGAAGACCAGUGGCGAAGGCGGGUCUCUGGACAGUUCCUGACACUGAGACACGAAGGCCAGGGGAGCAAACGGG